This 73-nucleotide transfer RNA is filed under the name Dendronephthya gigantea. RNAcentral's name for it is "tRNA-Arg". It matches the Rfam family "tRNA". From Rfam's summary of the family: Transfer RNA (tRNA) molecules are approximately 80 nucleotides in length. The record is from RNAcentral. Lineage: Eukaryota; Metazoa; Cnidaria; Anthozoa; Malacalcyonacea; Nephtheidae.
GCCUUCGUGGCCUAACGGAUAUGGCGUCGGCCUCCUAAGCCGAGGAUUGCGGGUUCGAAUCCCGUCGGAGGUA